UCCGGGCACGGUGGCACACACCUGUAGUCCCAGCUACUUAGGAGGCUGAGACAGGAGGAUCGCUUGAGUCCAAGAGUUCUGGACUGUAGUGCACUAUGCCGAUCAGGUGUCUGCACUAAGUUUGACAUCAAUAUGGUGACCUCUGGGGAGGGGGAGCACCAGGUUGCCUAAGGAGGGGUGAACUGGCCCAGGUAGGAAAUGGAGCAGGUCAUACAUGUGUGUCAUUACACUUCGCUCUUGUCACCUCCGCUGACUUUCCCUUAUCAUGUUUCCU
Molecule: unclassified non-coding RNA, 274 nt
Organism: Mesocricetus auratus (golden hamster)
Lineage: Eukaryota; Metazoa; Chordata; Mammalia; Rodentia; Cricetidae
Rfam family: Metazoan signal recognition particle RNA
About the family: The signal recognition particle (SRP) is a universally conserved ribonucleoprotein. It is involved in the co-translational targeting of proteins to membranes.
Source: Ensembl